This 1347-nucleotide long non-coding RNA is filed under the name Mus musculus (house mouse). RNAcentral describes it as "predicted gene 14461". The record is from RNAcentral. Lineage: Eukaryota; Metazoa; Chordata; Mammalia; Rodentia; Muridae.
GAGCGACCUCAUGUCACUCAAACCAGCUGUAUUAAGGAAGGUGCAAGCUUUUGGGAUUUCUGUUUGGAUUUAGUUUAGGUUCAAAAGAGCACGCACAGAUCCUGAGUGUUGUCAAGCACCCGUGACUGGGAAACGGAGGCGUCCGAUCCGUAUUGGAGUCAAUUCGCCACUUAAUUGAACACAGCCUCGAAGGGAAGGGCCAUAUUUGUGGGCCUGUCUAACAAUUAAGAGUGACCACAUGGAAUGGGGGAUGAAAGGGUUAAAGAAGAACAAAUAUUGAACACAGCUUUUCUAUGAACAAACUGCAGGCAGCUGCUGCUUUGCAAGUUUCAGGGGUUACUCCAUCAUUAUCAUGGCAGGGAACAUGGCAGGAUGCAGGCAGAUGGUAGCUGAGAGUUCUACAUCUGGAUCCACAGGAAGCAGUUGAUUGAGAAUAAUGGUUCUGUUUUGGAGGUUGAUGGAAGAUGCCCUUUGGCCAGGAAAACAGCUCAUGCUUUUAGAGGAGGAUAAUUGCCAGAAGGCCUCUCUGAAUAAAAAAAAAUCCUGACCUCACAGCCUUUGCGCUUACUUGGGUUAGAAUGCCACAGUGAACAUUGCCCCUUGUCAUCACGUAGAGGUGCUCACAGAAAAACCCUUUGAAAAGAUUCAGCACGUUGCCAUGGAGAACAUCCCACUGAAGGAAUGUAUAGAAGUAGCAGGGUUAACUGAGUGCCUUCCAUCUUCCCUCCAAGGGAUCUGCAAUGAGAUGGGAGAAGGCAACAGGCUGUGUGGGAACCACUGAAGCUGGGAUGGCAGGGAAAGAACAUCUUAGGCUAACUCUUCAAGCCUUGCUGUCACAUUUGCUUUUGAGUCUAUGGUGUCAGCUGCCUACCAGUUGCUUUCAUCUCUAGAAAUCUGUGACUUGCAGUAUGACAAGAACAAAAGGUGACAAUACAAAGGACAAAGGGCAAGGAAUACAGACGGAGAAGCCGCUUAGAGUCUAGGAUGGCAGAGGUUCUCUUGAUCAUUUCAUUUUUGAGCGCUUGUAGAGCUUUGGUGUACCAGAGGUGCUUGAACAGCUUACCACACCACAGAUGAAUGGCCUUUGGAUUUCUCCUAAGAAAAUGUGGCUACCUGAAAUUCAACUCCAUUUUCUGGUCUUCAAUAUUUCUUUUGUGUUCAGUUUGCCAGCUGAGGAGAAGUGGCUAAGCAUAGCCUGUUACUGAUGCUAAAGCCCAAGUUCUGAACCUAACAACUCCAGCAACAUGAUCCUGUUUCAAGAGACAAAAAAGUGACUAAUGAAAGAAAACAAUUGAUGUGCUAUGUAGAGUUUAAAAGAAGGUAAAGAGAAUAAAUUAAAAGCAACAA